ACUCCUACGGGAGGCAGCAGUGGGGAAUAUUGGACAAUGGGCGAAAGCCUGAUCCAGCCAUGCCGCGUGUGUGAAGAAGGUCUUCGGAUUGUAAAGCACUUUAAGUUGGGAGGAAGGGCAGUUACCUAAUACGUAAUUGUUUUGACGUUACCGACAGAAUAAGCACCGGCUAACUCUGUGCCAGCAGCCGCGGUAAUACAGAGGGUGCAAGCGUUAAUCGGAAUUACUGGGCGUAAAGCGCGCGUAGGUGGUUUGUUAAGUUGGAUUGUGAAAUCCCCGGGCUCAACCUGGGAACUGCAUUCAAAACUGACUGACUAGAGUAUGGUAGAGGGUGGUGGAAUUUCCUGUGUAGCGGUGAAAAUGCGUAGAUAUAGGAAGGAACACCAGUGGCGAAGGCGACCACCUGGACUAAUACUGACACUGAGGUGCGAAAGCGUGGGAGCAACAGGAUUAGAUACCCUGGUAGGUCAGUC
Molecule: ribosomal RNA, 473 nt
Filed under: uncultured bacterium
Lineage: Bacteria
Description: bacterial SSU rRNA
Rfam family: Bacterial small subunit ribosomal RNA
Source: RNAcentral